GAAAAAUUUUACCUUAGUGCUAUUUCUUAUCCAACACACUCGUCAUGUGCUGGUUAGGUGCAAUACUGAACAUUCUUACACAAACAAAUAAUCUCUUGUGCCCUGACGUACAUCAAGUCUAAACAUCUGAUGCUCCAUUUGACUGACUAAUAAUUUAUGAUAUAUGUUUGUCUUUUACACCCGGACUCUGGCUCCUUCCUAUCUGACUCCCCACCAGACCCAAGGCUGUUAAAGCGAAUGCAUCUUGUCUUGGAAGCUUGGUGUUCCUUCCUUUGGAUAACAAGACAUGACGAUGCAGAAGUGAGAAAGCAAACAUUCUCACUCACAGUGAGAUAAGGUGGCGCAAACAAUUCCAUUGCUGCAGAGAGACAUUCCACCAGAGCCAGAGAAAGGGGUUAAAAGGCAGAAGCAACUUGAGGAUCGUGGGCUCUUUGCAUCACACCUCUGUGGUGUGUGCACUGAUCUCCCCAGCUGGUUUUUUGGUUUGUUGAUGUGCACGAUCAACAUCCAUGCUUUUUAUUUGCUUUCCCCAUUAUUUUUAUUUUCUUUAUUAUUUCAAUAAAUCGCACAAAAGGACAACUCUCUCUCAUCUACUUCUUUAUGGAAAAUUUCCACCACAGAAAUUGGCGUCUACGAACAGGAUCCGCUGCAGGUCGUCUGGACGGUGUGACCAGGGACGAUAGUUCUGAGGACUAGGGUCGCUCAGCCUCCAAAACUCUACAGCUGUUCUGAGUGGGAGGACUGCUCACCCGUCUGGAUCGCCUCUGACGAGAUCCAACGAACUCAAAAUCCAACCUCUACUUGGCCCCGUUCCACACGUCCCUCUGUGAAAACAUGAUGGAGACAGAUGACAGGACAUGGGUUCUUUCGUGAACAGAUGUCAAUGGGGUGGAGACUGGUGAACGACUUCUGACCCCAUGUGAGGUAUUUACCCACAUUACAUGCUUUUGUUUUUGUUUUUAUUUUUCAGAGGACGCUCUGACCCAACACUCAGCCUUACAGGAAGCCCUGGUUCCCUGUGGCUCACACACAGACAUGAUGUAGGUUUAAUGAGAGGAUGUGAACCAGUGCUCAUCACGACUAAAUCUGACCACAGACAAUUUAAACAACAUCACCCUCUGAAAGAACUCAUAGACAGCGUUACUGCAGACACCACUAAGCUACUGAAUCAUUGGAUUCUACAGGCCACAAGGAGCCUGUCUAAAUUACAGUUUGUUCAGACUAAGGUUAUUUUCUGGGUCAUUGUAAUUACAGCUGAUGGCAAAUCCAUCUCACCCAACAGAGUUAAAGCAAUGUGAAACCUGCCUAAACCGUGCAUGUAAAAACAGCUGAUGUCUUUUCUAGGUCUUUGUUCUUAUUGUAGGACUUUCGUUCGUAACUUUACUGUCUUUGAGGCCCCACUCAGGGUUCUGAUGCAGACGUCUUCAUCGUCCACUUCUUGUCUCACAUGGACGUCUGAGGCUGAACAACGUUCACUGACCUCAAGCUUACUCUUCAGUCGACUCCCACUUUGGGUCUUUCUGAUCUGACCCUACGCGACCUUUCACUCAAACAGUGGAUGAGAAAUCAGGUUGUACGACUUCUGUUCUUUUGUCCUCAUACUUAGAUUCUUUUGGAAUAGAUUACAUCUUUCUACAGCCCGAUGGCUUAGAUGCAACACCGCUUUGCUCAACAUGCUGAACGUUACUAUCAAGAGGCCGCCUUGAAGUCUGGCUUUGCUAAGACACUACUCUGCUCAGGCUGCAGAGUUGACCGCAUUGACUGAAGCUAGUAAACUAGCAGAAGGAGAGUCUGUUACCAUCUACAGACUCCACAGAUGCUCUGUAGAAGCAUAGGAAGCUUUUGAAGUCUGAUUGCAAACCUAUCUCACAUCAUGAUUAGGUUCUGCUUUGCUGGACGCUGUCCUGCCGCCUACAGCUAUUGCUGUUUGUAACUGUCCAACUCACACCAUCAGUGACGACUUUGUUUCUGCCGACAUGCAGCUGCAGACGCUGCUGCGAAGGUCACUGCCCAACAACCCCUCCCUCUCCUGAUCCUUGUUCCCUCUCUCCAACUCUCUCUAUCCAUUCCUUCCUCUCUCCCUGUGCUUUAAACAUUUUGUACCUCACAGGAACGCAGACUCUGGCAGACGAAUGGUUCCACCUGUAGCCAUGGAGUCUGGUUUGGGCCUGAUGGCAGCCGUGCCGCCCAAACACCUUUUCCCCAUAAUUCAGAUUUCCCAACAGGUGAAAACAGGCGACAGGACCAUUACACACCAUCCGACCAGGGCACUGGGCGAUCGUUAAGGAGUUCAGGAGGAAGCAUUGGGACUCCAAACGGUGGCAAGGUCCCUUCCAAGUCCUUCUGACGACCAACACGACUGUAAAGAUCGCAGAAAGAGUGACUUGGAUCCACUCCAUCCAGGAAGGUCCCGGAUCCAACAGACGACCCUCCAUUCACAUCCCACGGAGAAAACCACCACUAACGAAAAGAACUGAGAAGGACGACCCUCGCUGUGCUCACACAUGCACUGAGGCGAGGCUGCGUUAACCAUUCAGCUAAAGGUGCGAGCCAAGCGCCGCCUGAAGCUGCGUCGGUGAAUCACACUAUCAGACCAUACAUCUACACACACGCUCCUGAGAAAACACACACACGAGCAGCCUUGAGUUGCCGACGCUGGACGACGUGUAGACUCUUUACAUCACGGGAGUGACAGUGACUCAGACGACAUUGGGAGGAAACCUGGCGGUGAUAACGAAUCCCAAGUGUCUCUGUGAUCAGCUGAUCACAACCUGAAGAACCCCAACAAACUGUCAAUACUUCAACACACAGGUUGGAAACAAUCUAACGCUACUGUUCAACAGGACGAAGCAGAUUGUUACGAGACAUCAAUUGUAACCUUGUUGUGUUAGACUUCAUUUUAUGUUACAUGGAUUGUUGCCUUGAUCAUAUGAUGUUUCCUUGUAACUUUACACACUAUUUUUGAAUGAGAAAAUUCACAACAACAACAACACUGAGUUUAAAUAUCCUAAAGUUGAUUUGGUGUUUGAAUUGUUCACAAUCAUUUUAUUCACUGCUACAAAAAUUUUCUAUCCUUCAUCUACAGAUGAAAGACAAAACAAGCAACAAUAUGCAUCAUCAUUCUGGUUAAAUCCCUGAAUCUCCUAUUCGCUCCAGACGCAAAUGUACAAUUAAAGAUCCGAAAGCAUGAAAUCUAUUUUAAGAUUAUAUGAAACAGAACCCCACCGGAAACCUAUGGCUAUCAUACAUUAAUUGUCUUUAUUACAUUACAAUUGAAUGGCCGUAGACAUGUUGUUAGCAGAGAAAAGAGGCGUUUGUGUCAUGUUUGGAGACGCAUGUUGUACUUACAUCCUGAAUAACACUGAUUCUAAUGGUAUUGUGGCGAAGGCGCACCACGGCCUUCAGAAUUUCAGCUAACUCUGGUAUAGGUUCUUUCCCUUGAAAUUGGCUAGACGAAAUGUCUGGAAAAUGGAAAUCUGUUCUCAUGUCCGCAGCUGUUUCCUUUAUCAUUGAGAUGGCUGUGAUUCUCUUGUUUGGUUUUUGCGUUAUCCCACUGGUUAGAGGUCUCAUCAUGCGUGCGACCUCAGCAACACUCUCAUAUCAAAUGACACAAUGCACUAUGUUCAAAAACCCCAACUCUAACUCACUUAAUGACUUUGGCGAUGGUAUGGGCUCAUUUUCUUCACAUGCCGAUACAGAGGUUAUUCUUGUUUAACUACCCACCAAAAACAGCUCCCAACCUUUUAUUCCUAAGUUACUUGCAUUUUAUGUGAAGGUGUAUUUUUGAAUUUUGACUUAAUACACUUACUGUUUCAUUUGUAAGGGCUGUUACUACAAAAUGCAAUGUUUGAAAAAUUUUAUUAUUUUAGUGUUUGAUUAAUGUGUAAUCAAAAGGGGGGAAUGUAAUGGAAAAAUUUUACCUUAGUGCUAUUUCUUAUCCAACACACUCGUCAUGUGCUGGUUAGAUGCAAUACUGAACAUUCUUACACAAACAACUAAUCUCUUGUGCCCUGACGUACAUCAAGUCUAAACAUCUGAUGCUCCAUUUGACUGACUAAUAAUUUAUGAUAUAUGUUUGUCUUUUACACCCGGACUCUGGCUCCUUCCUAUCUGACUCCCCACCAGACCCAAGGCUGUUAAAGCGAAUGCAUCUUGUCUUGGAAGCUUGGUGUUCCUUCCUUUGGAUAACAAGACAUGACGAUGCAGAAGUGAGAAAGCAAACAUUCUCACUCACAGCGAGAUAAGGUGGCGCAAACAAUUCCAUUGCUGCAGAGAGACAUUCCACCAGAGCCAGAGAAAGGGGUUAAAAGGCAGAAGCAACUUGAGGAUCGUGGGCUCUUUGCAUCACACCUUCGUGGUGUGUGCACUGAUCUCCCCAGCUGGUUUUUUGGUUUGUUGAUGUCAACAUCCAUGCUUUUUAUUUGCUUUCCCCAUUAUUUUUAUUUUCUUUAUUAUUUCAAUAAAUCGCACAAAAGGACAACUCUCUCUCAUCUACUUCUUUAUGGAAAAUUUCCACCACAACUGCUGAACAGAACAAAAAAAAAAAAAAAAAAAAAGAAC
Molecule: long non-coding RNA, 4560 nt
Organism: Betta splendens (Siamese fighting fish)
Lineage: Eukaryota; Metazoa; Chordata; Actinopteri; Anabantiformes; Osphronemidae
Exons: 2
Source: RefSeq, a predicted model, not a curated record